This 332-nucleotide unclassified non-coding RNA is filed under the name Hevea brasiliensis (rubber tree). The record is from RNAcentral. Lineage: Eukaryota; Viridiplantae; Streptophyta; Magnoliopsida; Malpighiales; Euphorbiaceae.
UUCGUCAAUUCAGGGGACCUUGUGGUAUGUUUAGUUUCCUAAUUAAAUUUUUCAAAACAAUUAUGUUGUGCAAUAUUAUGGCAGAUGACAAAAUGGUCUACGACAAACUAUCAUCAUCGAGGUGUUAAUCAUGACAAAAAUUUAUCUAAUCCUUAUGGACCAAGACACAAACACAUAAAUUCACCAGUAUUCACUAUACAUAUUGUAUCUUAAAUAUACAAUAAAGUAUUUUCCGUUAAUUACAAAGAUAAUAUAAAUUAGAAAAGUCUACAUAUAUAGGGAGUCUAGAGACGCUUGAGUUGAUAUAGUUUUAUUAUUCUUGGGAGAAUGCA